AAUUCCGUGCAUUUGUUCUUGAAAAGGCUUGUGCACAGUUCAAGACUGAGCUGUCCAACUAAGGGGGCAAACAUAGAAAAAAAAAAAAAAAAGAACGAAGAAGAAACUAGCACCAUUGAUGACAUGUACAAGAAUGGCAAGUGAGCAAAAUAUCCCCAGUCUGAUGGUGCAAAUACUGAUGUCCAUGUACAUGGGGGACCCAUAUCCCAUUUCAUGUGAUUUGAACAUUUACUAUGCUUGUUUUAUUUAUUUAUAUUAUUUUGACUGUACAUAUUGAUUA
Long non-coding RNA from Magnolia sinica, 280 nucleotides. RefSeq lists it as uncharacterized. The record is from RefSeq and is a predicted model, not a curated record. The transcript has 2 exons. Lineage: Eukaryota; Viridiplantae; Streptophyta; Magnoliopsida; Magnoliales; Magnoliaceae.